AUGAGCAACCAUAACUACCGCACAUGUCCACUCCACAUAGAUGCCACUGUCAACAAGAACAAGCAGAUUGGAGCCACCCAGCUUUCUACCAAUGGAGACAACACACGUGACAAGCGGAUGCUGGAGAAGGCUGGUUUGGAAAUCAACCCCAACAACUUCAUCGACAUGCAGCGCAAGCGGAAAGAUCCAAAGACCGACAAAUACUACGACUCCUUGGCUGAUGUUGGAGGCGGCGUCAUCCACCCAUUCUAUGAAGGCAUGAAGAAGAAGAUGAACAGGGAAGACCACAAACUGUGGGGGAACAGCCCGCUGCCAGACAACCUCAUCACGUACGCACGAAUAGAUGCAUACGCAAUGUACAAGUCAUGGAAGACAAUCAACAACAUCGUGACUGGUUGGGAUAGUUCAAAAGAGCAGGAGGCUGACCCAUACUACCACUGCAACUUCGCGGAUGAAGAUGCAUGA
This 465-nucleotide ribosomal RNA is filed under the name Triticum aestivum (bread wheat). RNAcentral's name for it is "partial small subunit ribosomal RNA". The record is from RNAcentral. Lineage: Eukaryota; Viridiplantae; Streptophyta; Magnoliopsida; Poales; Poaceae.